GGUUAAGCGACUAAGCGUACACGGUGGAUGCCCUGGCAGUCAGAGGCGAUGAAGGACGUGCUAAUCUGCGAAAAGCGUCGGUAAGGUGAUAUGAACCGUUACAGCCGGCGAUGUCCGAAUGGGGAAACCCAGUGCAAUUCGUUGCACUAUCGUUAACUGAAUACAUAGGUUAACGAGGCGAACCGGGGGAACUGAAACAUCUAAGUACCCCGAGGAAAAGAAAUCAACCGAGAUUCCCCNCCGGCGAUGUCCGAAUGGGGAAACCCAGUGCAAUUCGUUGCACUAUCGUUAACUGAAUACAUAGGUUAACGAGGCGAACCGGGGGAACUGAAACAUCUAAGUACCCCGAGGAAAAGAAAUCAACCGAGAUUCCCCCAGUAGCGGCGAGCGAACGGGGAGCAGCCCAGAGUCUGAAUCAGCUUGUGUGUUAGUGGAACGGUCUGGAAAGUCCGACGGUACAGGGUGAUAGUCCCGUACACCAAAAUGCACAGGCUGUGAACUCGAAGAGUAGGGCGGGACACGUGGUAUCCUGUCUGAAUAUGGGGGGACCAUCCUCCAAGGCUAAAUACUCCUGACUGACCGAUAGUGAACCAGUACCGUGAGGGAAAGGCGAAAAGAACCCCGGCGAGGGGAGUGAAAAAGAACCUGAAACCGUGUACGUACAAGCAGUGGGAGCACCUUCGGGUGUGACUGCGUACCUUUUGUAUAAUGGGUCAGCGACUUAUAUUCUGUAGCAAGGUUAACCGUAUAGGGGAGCCGCAGGGAAACCGAGUCUUAACUGGGCGUUAAGUUGCAGGGUAUAGACCCGAAACCCGGUGAUCUAGCCAUGGGCAGGUUGAAGGUUGGGUAACACUAACUGGAGGACCGAACCGACUAAUGUUGAAAAAUUAGCGGAUGACUUGUGGCUGGGGGUGAAAGGCCAAUCAAACCGGGAGAUAGCUGGUUCUCCCCGAAAGCUAUUUAGGUAGCGCCUCGUGAAYUCAUCUUCGGGGGUAGAGCACUGUUUCGGCUAGGGGGUCAUCCCGACUUACCAACCCGAUGCAAACUACGAAUACCGAAGAAUGUUAUCACGGGAGACACACGGCGGGUGCUAACGUCCGUCGUGAAGAGGGAAACAACCCAGACCGCCAGCUAAGGUCCCAAAGUCAUGGUUAAGUGGGAAACGAUGUGGGAAGGCACAGACAGCCAGGAUGUUGGCUUAGAAGCAGCCAUCAUUUAAAGAAAGCGUAAUAGCUCACUGGUCGAGUCGGCCUGCGCGGAAGAUGUAACGGGGCUAAACCAUGCACCGAAGCUGCGGCAGCGACACUAUGUGUUGUUGGGUAGGGGAGCGUUCUGUAAGCCUGCGAAGGUGWSCUGUGAGGSWUGCUGGAGGUAUCAGAAGUGCGAAUGCUGACAUAAGUAACGAUAAAGCGGGUGAAAAGCCCGCUCGCCGGAAGACCAAGGGUUCCUGUCCAACGUUAAUCGGGGCAGGGUGAGUCGACCCCUAAGGCGAGGCCGAAAGGCGUAGUCGAUGGGAAACAGGUUAAUAUUCCUGUACUUGGUGUUACUGCGAAGGGGGGACGGAGAAGGCUAUGUUAGCCGGGCGACGGUUGUCCCGGUUUAAGCAUGUAGGCUGGUURUCCAGGCAAAUCCGGAUAAUCAAGGCUGAGGUGUGAUGACGAGGCACUACGGUGCUGAAGUAACAAAUGCCCUGCUUCCAGGAAAAGCCUCUAAGCAUCAGGUAACAUYAAAUCGUACCCCAAACCGACACAGGUGGUCAGGUAGAGAAUACCAAGGCGCUUGAGAGAACUCGGGUGAAGGAACUAGGCAAAAUGGUGCCGUAACUUCGGGAGAAGGCACGCUGGUGUGUAGGUGAAGUCCCUGCGGAUGGAGCUGAGACCAGUCGAAGAUACCAGCUGGCUGCAACUGUUUAUUAAAAACACAGCACUGUGCAAACACGAAAGUGGACGUAUACGGUGUGACGCCUGCCCGGUGCCGGAAGGUUAAUUGAUGGGGUUAUCCGUAAGGAGAAGCUCUUGAUCGAAGCCCCGGUAAACGGCGGCCGUAACUAUAACGGUCCUAAGGUAGCGAAAUUCCUUGUCGGGUAAGUUCCGACCUGCACGAAUGGCGUAAUGAUGGCCAGGCUGUCUCCACCCGAGACUCAGUGAAAUUGAACUCGCUGUGAAGAUGCAGUGUACCCGCGGCAAGACGGAAAGACCCCGUGAACCUUUACUAUAGCUUGACACUGAACAUUGAGCCUUGAUGUGUAGGAUAGGUGGGAGGCUUUGAAGCGUGGACGCCAGUCUGCGUGGAGCCAACCUUGAAAUACCACCCUUUAAUGUUUGAUGUUCUAACGUUGGCCCCUKACCGGGGUUGCGGACAGUGUCUGGUGGGUAGUUUGACUGGGGCAUGCCAAUGGCACUGCCCGGUAGCUAAAUGCGGAAGAGAUAAGUGCUGAAAGCAUCUAAGCACGAAACUUGCCCCGAGAUGAGUUCUCCCUGAGACUUUAAGUCUCCUGAAGGAACGUUAAAGACGAUGACGUUGAUAGGCCGGGUGUGUAAGCGCAGCGAUGCGUUGAGCUAACCGGUACUAAUGAACCGUGAGGCUUAACCUU
RNAcentral lists this ribosomal RNA (2593 nucleotides) under Klebsiella pneumoniae. Its description in RNAcentral is "23S ribosomal RNA". The record is from RNAcentral. Lineage: Bacteria; Pseudomonadati; Pseudomonadota; Gammaproteobacteria; Enterobacterales; Enterobacteriaceae.